UGGGGAAUAUUGGACAAUGGGCGCAAGCCUGAUCCAGCCAUGCCGCGUGAGUGAUGAAGGCUCUAGGGUUGUAAAGCUCUUUUCGCCAGGGGACGAUAAUGACGGUACCUGGAUAAGAAGCCCCGGCUAACUUCGUGCCAGCAGCCGCGGUAAUACGAAGGGGGCUAGCGUUGUUCGGAAUCACUGGGCGUAAAGCGCACGUAGGCGGAUCUUUAAGCCAGGGGUGAAAUCCCGAGGCUCAACCUCGGAACUGCCUUUGAUACUGGAGGUCUCGAGUCCGGGAGAGGUGAGUGGAACUGCGAGUGUAGAGGUGAAAUUCGUAGAUAUUCGCAAGAACACCAGUGGCGAAGGCGGCUCACUGGCCCGGUACUGACGCUGAGG
Molecule: ribosomal RNA, 381 nt
Filed under: uncultured bacterium
Lineage: Bacteria
Description: partial 16S ribosomal RNA
Rfam family: Bacterial small subunit ribosomal RNA
Source: RNAcentral